AACGAACGCUGGCGGCAGGCUUAACACAUGCAAGUCGAACGCCCCGCAAGGGGAGUGGCAGACGGGUGAGUAACGCGUGGGAACAUACCCUUUUCUACGGAAUAGCUCUGGGAAACUGGAAUUAAUACCGUAUACGCCCUACGGGGGAAAGAUUUAUCGGGGAAGGAUUGGCCCGCGUUGGAUUAGCUAGUUGGUGGGGUAAAGGCCUACCAAGGCGACGAUCCAUAGCUGGUCUGAGAGGAUGAUCAGCCACAUUGGGACUGAGACACGGCCCAAACUCCUACGGGAGGCAGCAGUGGGGAACAUUGGACAAUGGGCGCAAGCCUGAUCCAGCCAUGCCGCGUGAGUGAUGAAGGCCUUAGGGUUGUAAAGCUCUUUCACCGAUGAAGAUAAUGACGGUAGUCGGAGAAGAAGCCCCGGCUAACUUCGUG
Molecule: ribosomal RNA, 431 nt
Filed under: uncultured bacterium
Lineage: Bacteria
Description: partial 16S ribosomal RNA
Rfam family: Bacterial small subunit ribosomal RNA
Source: RNAcentral